GGAAGUAAAAGUCGUAACAAGGUUUCCGUAGGUGAACCUGCGGAAGGAUCAUUACCUAGAGUUUGUAGACUUCGGUCUGCUACCUCUUACCCAUGUCUUUUGAGUACCUUCGUUUCCUCGGCGGGUCCGCCCGCCGAUUGGACAACAUUCAAACCCUUUGCAGUUGCAAUCAGCGUCUGAAAAAACAUAAUAGUUACAACUUUCAACAACGGAUCUCUUGGUUCUGGCAUCGAUGAAGAACGCAGCGAAAUGCGAUAAGUAGUGUGAAUUGCAGAAUUCAGUGAAUCAUCGAAUCUUUGAACGCACAUUGCGCCCCUUGGUAUUCCAUGGGGCAUGCCUGUUCGAGCGUCAUUUGUACCUUCAAGCUCUGCUUGGUGUUGGGUGUUUUGUCUCGCCUCUGCGUGUAGACUCGCCUUAAAACAAUUGGCAGCCGGCGUAUUGAUUUCGGAGCGCAGUACAUCUCGCGCUUUGCACUCAUAACGGCGACGUCCAAAAGUACAUUUUUACACUCUUGACCUCGGAUCAGGUAGGGAUACCCGCUGAACUUAAGCAUAUCAAUAAGCGGAGGA
This 569-nucleotide ribosomal RNA is filed under the name Epicoccum nigrum. RNAcentral's name for it is "eukaryotic LSU rRNA". The stretch from base 198 to 351 matches the Rfam family "5.8S ribosomal RNA". The record is from RNAcentral. RNAcentral also lists the same sequence under 1 other name. Lineage: Eukaryota; Fungi; Ascomycota; Dothideomycetes; Pleosporales; Didymellaceae.